This 76-nucleotide transfer RNA is filed under the name Escherichia coli. RNAcentral's name for it is "tRNA-Val". It matches the Rfam family "tRNA". Rfam says of the family: Transfer RNA (tRNA) molecules are approximately 80 nucleotides in length. Their secondary structure includes four short double-helical elements and three loops (D, anti-codon, and T loops). The record is from RNAcentral. Lineage: Bacteria; Pseudomonadati; Pseudomonadota; Gammaproteobacteria; Enterobacterales; Enterobacteriaceae.
GGGUGAUUAGCUCAGCUGGGAGAGCAUCUCCCUUACAAGGAAGGGGUCGGCGGUUCGAUCCCGUCAUCACCCACCA